GGGUAUAUAGCUCAGUUGGUUAGAGCAUUAGACUUUUAAUCUAAUGGUCUUGGGUUCGAGUCCCAAUAUACUCA
RNAcentral lists this transfer RNA (74 nucleotides) under Malawimonas jakobiformis. RNAcentral describes it as "tRNA-Lys". It matches the Rfam family "tRNA". From Rfam's summary of the family: Transfer RNA (tRNA) molecules are approximately 80 nucleotides in length. Their secondary structure includes four short double-helical elements and three loops (D, anti-codon, and T loops). The record is from RNAcentral. Lineage: Eukaryota; Malawimonada; Malawimonadea; Malawimonadida; Malawimonadidae.